This 253-nucleotide non-coding RNA is filed under the name Clostridium carboxidivorans. RNAcentral describes it as "T-box sequence". It matches the Rfam family "T-box leader". From Rfam's summary of the family: Uncharged tRNA acts as the effector for transcription antitermination of genes in the T-box leader family. T-boxes are found upstream of many aminoacyl-tRNA synthetase genes and some amino acid biosynthetic genes usually in Gram-positive bacteria. Lineage: Bacteria; Bacillati; Bacillota; Clostridia; Eubacteriales; Clostridiaceae. The record is from RNAcentral.
AGAAAAACAAUGAUAGGGAGAGUAAAUAUAAUUCAGAUUCAGAGCGAAUUCGGGAAGGUGGAAGCCGAAUAUGAAGAUUAUAUUGAAGAACACCCUGGAGUAUCUAACCGAAAUUUUUAUAAGAGUAGGCUUAGACGUAUUCCCUAUGUUACAAGGGAUAGGUAUCGAUAAGUAAGUUUAAUUAUCUGUACCGAUAAGAGAUAGCUUUAAAGCUAAAUUAGGGUGGCACCACGGAAUAGUAUCCGUCCCUAUA